AUUUUGCAUUUACAAAUGCGCGUAAAAAAAUAUGUUAAUGCAUAAAAAAAUAUGUUAAUGCAUAAAAAANNNNNNNNNNAUAUGUUAAUGCAUAAAAAAAUAUGUUAAUGCAUAAAAAAAUAUGUUUGUGCGUAAAAAAAUAUGUUCGUGCAGUUUUUUAGGCUAAGUUUUUAUGGUGUGGAUACAGUGGAAUCAAAGCAAAACGAAGAUGAUGAAGAGCAAAAAAACGAACGAAUAAACAAAAAGACAGAUAUAAAUACAAAAAAUAAAAAAAAAAAAAAAAGACAAAAAUGGUGGUAGUAGUGAUGGUGGUAGUAGUAGUAGUAGUAGUAGUGAUAAAGUAACAGACCAUUACGCACAUAACAACAAAGAGAGCUAUAAAAAUAAUAAAACACUAUCUGUAAAUGUUCAAAAUAUAAAAACGAAAAGAUUUGAUAAAAAUAAUUUUAAAUUUAUUAGAAAAUCAAAAAGUUUAACAAAAAAUAACAUUAAUUUAAUUGAACAAAUAAAUAAAACACAAACUAUAAAAUCAAAUACUGUUAAUUUUAAAAAAGAGUCAUUUUCAUUAUCAGAUGAAUUUUAUAAUUCUAACAAGUUUGAAAAAGUAGCU
Molecule: long non-coding RNA, 610 nt
Filed under: Piliocolobus tephrosceles (Ugandan red Colobus)
Lineage: Eukaryota; Metazoa; Chordata; Mammalia; Primates; Cercopithecidae
Description: lncRNA (ENSPTEG00000009306.1)
Source: RNAcentral